Molecule: non-coding RNA, 73 nt
Organism: Rattus norvegicus (Norway rat)
Lineage: Eukaryota; Metazoa; Chordata; Mammalia; Rodentia; Muridae
Source: Rfam
GGGGAUUUAGCUCAGUGGUAGAGCGAGCGCUUACCUAGGAAGCGCAAGGCCCUGGGUUCAGUCCCCAGCUCCG